GCUUACGCCACACCUCCCUGAGCCCGCCCGAUCUCGGCUGAUCUCGGAAGCUAAGCAGGGUCGGGCCCGGUUAGUACUUGGAUGGGAAACGCCUGGGAAUACCAGUGCUGUAAGCC
Molecule: ribosomal RNA, 116 nt
Filed under: Esox lucius (northern pike)
Lineage: Eukaryota; Metazoa; Chordata; Actinopteri; Esociformes; Esocidae
Source: RNAcentral